This 460-nucleotide ribosomal RNA is filed under the name uncultured bacterium. RNAcentral describes it as "partial 16S ribosomal RNA". It matches the Rfam family "Bacterial small subunit ribosomal RNA", at positions 338 to 795 of the family's 1533-position model. The record is from RNAcentral.
CCUACGGGUGGCAGCAGUGAGGAAUAUUGGUCAAUGGCCGGAAGGCUGAACCAGCCAUGCCGCGUGAAGGUCAGUGCCCUUUGGGCGUUAAACUUCUUUUGUGCGGGAGCAAUAAUGGUCACGUGUGGCCAGACGAGAGUACCGUACGAAUAAGCAUCGGCGAACUCCGUGCCAGCAGCCGCGGUAAUACGGGGGAGGCAAGCGUUAUCCGGAUCUUUUGGGUUGAAAGGGUGCGUAGGCUGGGGGGUAAGUCAGAGGUGAAAAGCCCCCGCUCAACGGGGUGAAGUGCCAUUGAUACUGCCUUGCUGGAGUGCGGAUGCGGUAGGAGGAAUGUGUGGUGUAGCGGUGAAAUGCAUAGAUAUCACACAGAACACCGAUUGCGAAGGCAUCUCACGAAUCCGCGAUUGGCGCUGAUGCACGAAAGCGUGGGGAUCAAACAGGAUUAGAUACCCCAGUAGUC